GACGAACGCUGGCGGCGUGCCUAAUACAUGCAAGUCGAACGCUUCUUUCCUCCCGAGUGCUUGCACUCAAUUGGAAAGAGGAGUGGCGGACGGGUGAGUAACACGUGGGUAACCUACCCAUCAGAGGGGGAUAACGCUUGGAAACAGGUGCUAAUACCGCAUAACAGUUUAUGCCGCAUGGCAUAAGAGUGAAAGGCGCUUUCGGGUGUCGCUGAUGGAUGGACCCGCGGUGCAUUAGCUAGUUGGUGAGGUAACGGCUCACCAAGGCCACGAUGCAUAGCCGACCUGAGAGGGUGAUCGGCCACACUGGGACUGAGACACGGCCCAGACUCCUACGGGAGGCAGCAGUAGGGAAUCUUCGGCAAUGGACGAAAGUCUGACCGAGCAACGCCGCGUGAGUGAAGAAGGUUUUCGGAUCGUAAAACUCUGUUGUUAGAGAAGAACAAGGACGUUAGUAACUGAACGUCCCCUGACGGUAUCUAACCAGAAAGCCACGGCUAACUACGUG
This 508-nucleotide ribosomal RNA is filed under the name uncultured bacterium. RNAcentral describes it as "partial 16S ribosomal RNA". It matches the Rfam family "Bacterial small subunit ribosomal RNA", at positions 28 to 507 of the family's 1533-position model. The record is from RNAcentral.